GAUGAACGCUGGCGGCGUGCCUAAUACAUGCAAGUCGAGCGAACAGACGAGGAGCUUGCUCCUCUGACGUUAGCGGCGGACGGGUGAGUAACACGUGGAUAACCUACCUAUAAGACUGGGAUAACUUCGGGAAACCGGAGCUAAUACCGGAUAAUAUAUUGAACCGCAUGGUUCAAUAGUGAAAGACGGUUUUGCUGUCACUUAUAGAUGGAUCCGCGCCGCAUUAGCUAGUUGGUAAGGUAACGGCUUACCAAGGCAACGAUGCGUAGCCGACCUGAGAGGGUGAUCGGCCACACUGGAACUGAGACACGGUCCAGACUCCUACGGGAGGCAGCAGUAGGGAAUCUUACGCAAUGGGCGAAAGCCUGACGGAGCAACGCCGCGUGAGUGAUGAAGGUCUUCGGAUCGUAAAACUCUGUUAUUAGGGAAGAACAAAUGUGUAAGUAACUAUGCACGUCUUGACGGUACCUAAACAGAAAGCCACGGCUAACUACGUG
This 497-nucleotide ribosomal RNA is filed under the name uncultured bacterium. RNAcentral describes it as "partial 16S ribosomal RNA". It matches the Rfam family "Bacterial small subunit ribosomal RNA", at positions 28 to 507 of the family's 1533-position model. The record is from RNAcentral.